AGAAUCAACGCUGGCGGCGUGCCUAACACAUGCAAGUCGAACGAGAAAGUGGAGCAAUCCAUGAGUAAAGUGGCGCACGGGUGAGUAACACGUGACUAACCUACCCUUGAGUGGGGAAUAACUGAGGGAAACCUUAGCUAAUACCGCAUAACACCUACGGGUCAAAGGAGCAAUUCGCUUAAGGAGGGGGUCGCGGCAGAUUAGUUAGUUGGCGGGGUAAUGGCCCACCAAGACAGUGAUCUGUAUCCGGCCUGAGAGGGCGCACGGACACACUGGAACUGAAACACGGUCCAGACUCCUACGGGAGGCAGCAGUGGGAAUUUUGCGCAAUGGGGAAACCCUGACGCAGCAACGCCGCGUGGAGGAUGAAGACCCUUGGGUCGUAAACUCCUUUCGAUCGGGACGAUUAUGACGGUACCGGAAGAAGAAGCCCCGGCUAACUUCGUGCCAGCAGCCGC
This 458-nucleotide ribosomal RNA is filed under the name uncultured bacterium. RNAcentral's name for it is "SSU rRNA". It matches the Rfam family "Bacterial small subunit ribosomal RNA", at positions 26 to 518 of the family's 1533-position model. The record is from RNAcentral.